CAGAGCUGCGCCACGGCGUCGGAGGCGCCUAUCGAAGAGCACGACACGCAAGCGCAGUGUGCUAUCUUCAACGAGUCGCCGGCUGAAAACCACGACGCGAAAGAAGAAGAGACAGCAUACUGCGGCAGCCAAAGCGAGACGCCAUGAAGCUGCCAUCAGUCGCACGAGUGAAGCCUUAAGACGGCUGGAAAAACGGUGGAGCAUUUGUAUCCAUAUGUCACGCUAAAUACUUGUCCUCAAGUCAACGGGUAUGUACACAAAACUAGAAAUUUAUUGAGGGUCUCUUU
Long non-coding RNA from Rhipicephalus microplus (southern cattle tick), 287 nucleotides. NCBI's taxonomy places the organism in Eukaryota, Metazoa, Arthropoda, Arachnida, Ixodida, Ixodidae. The record is from RefSeq and is a predicted model, not a curated record.